CCCCUAGACGUUCUGGGCUGCACGCGCGCUACAAUAAUACGCACAGCGAGUAUCACCGAGCUCGAAAGGGCAAGGUAAACAAUAGAAAAGGUACUGUAAUGGUUAUAGAUCCUUGUAAUUAUUGAUCUUCAACGAGGAAUUCCUAGUAAGUAUGUGUCAUCAUCACGCACUGAUUACGUCCCUGUCCUUUGUACACACCGCCCGUCGCUCCUACCGAUUGAGUGAGCCGAUGAAACUGCCGGAUGUGGACUAUUCAUAGUCUGCAGAAGAUAUUUGAAUCGUAGCGCUUAGAGGAAGGAGAAGUCGUAACA
This 311-nucleotide ribosomal RNA is filed under the name uncultured eukaryote. RNAcentral describes it as "partial 18S ribosomal RNA". It matches the Rfam family "Eukaryotic small subunit ribosomal RNA", at positions 1470 to 1796 of the family's 1831-position model. The record is from RNAcentral.